RNAcentral lists this ribosomal RNA (254 nucleotides) under uncultured bacterium. RNAcentral describes it as "partial 16S ribosomal RNA". It matches the Rfam family "Bacterial small subunit ribosomal RNA", at positions 524 to 776 of the family's 1533-position model. The record is from RNAcentral.
UACGUAGGGUGCAAGCGUUAAUCGGAAUUACUGGGCGUAAAGCGUGCGCAGGCGGUUGUGCAAGACAGAUGUGAAAUCCCCGGGCUCAACCCUGGGAACUGCAUUUGUGACUGCAUGGCUAGAGUACGGCAGAGGGGGAUGGAAUUCCGCGUGUAGCAGUGAAAUGCGUAGAUAUGCGGAGGAACACCGAUGGCGAAGGCAAUCCCCUGGGCCUGUACUGACGCUCAUGCACGAAAGCGUGGGGAGCAAACAGG